UACGUAGGGUGCAAGCGUUAAUCGGAAUUACUGGGCGUAAAGCGUGCGCAGGCGGUUUUGUAAGUCUGUCGUGAAAUCCCCGGGCUUAACCUGGGAAUUGCGAUGGAGACUGCAAGGCUAGAAUCUGGCAGAGGGGGGUAGAAUUCCACGUGUAGCAGUGAAAUGCGUAGAGAUGUGGAGGAACACCGGUGGCGAAGGCGGCUCUCUGGACCGACACUGACGCUGAGGCGCGAAAGCGUGGGGAGCAAACAGG
This 253-nucleotide ribosomal RNA is filed under the name uncultured bacterium. Its description in RNAcentral is "partial 16S ribosomal RNA". It matches the Rfam family "Bacterial small subunit ribosomal RNA", at positions 524 to 776 of the family's 1533-position model. The record is from RNAcentral.